GGCAGAGAUCCACCAGGAGAGAAGAGGAGGAGAGAGGAGAAGAUUCUGUGUUUCCUGCACCAAGCCUGUGGUCUUCACUGGCUGGAUGCUGUUGCUAUGGUAACAACAGCUUAAGAGCCUUAGGCCCCCCUCUGGGGUGACAGGCUUGGAUGGAGAUGGCUGAUCAAAUUCCUAGAGCAUCCUCAGCCUUCUGGAUGCGAGGCUUGGGUCGCUGCCCUUGCCCACCAGAGCCAGCUCCUAGAAGUAUGCGUGUUGUGAUGCUCCACCUCAGAGGAGCGUCUCAAGGGUCCAGCUGUUGUCCUUGCUGUCUCCCGACAGGCCUCAGCUAGAUGGAACUUGCCUGACAAAUUCCCUCCCUCUGCCUACCCUCCUCCUGGUGGCUCCUGGGGUCACUGCCAAAUGCAAAGUCCUUGUCUUAAGGUCUGUUAAUCUGGGGAUCAUCAAGACAAGAGGCCCUGCCUACUUUAUUAUCCAAGUGAGUGGUAGUUUGGGCUGCCUAAGGCCAAUUCCUUGACAAGGUGACCCCGGCUGGCCUUGCCAUAUGAGACUCUGCAGUCUCAACCCUUAAUAAUA
This 573-nucleotide long non-coding RNA is filed under the name Mus pahari (shrew mouse). RNAcentral's name for it is "lncRNA (MGP_PahariEiJ_G0003391.1)". The record is from RNAcentral. Lineage: Eukaryota; Metazoa; Chordata; Mammalia; Rodentia; Muridae.